This 326-nucleotide ribosomal RNA is filed under the name uncultured eukaryote. RNAcentral describes it as "partial 18S ribosomal RNA". It matches the Rfam family "Eukaryotic small subunit ribosomal RNA", at positions 1470 to 1796 of the family's 1831-position model. The record is from RNAcentral.
CCCUUAGAUGUUCUGGGCUGCACGCGCGCUACACUGAUGCGUUCAACGAGUUUUUAGCUUAUCUGAUAAGAUUGGCUAAUCUUCUGAAAACGCAUCGUGAUGGGGAUAGAUUAUUGUAAUUAUUAAUCUUCAACGAGGAAUUCCUAGUAGGUGUGAAUCAUCAGUUCACGCCGAUUACGUCCCUGCCCUUUGUACACACCGCUCGUCGCUCCUACCGAUUGAGUGAUCCGGUGAAUAAUUCGGACCGGUGAGCUUCCAGGUUUACCUGUCUGCUUGCUGGAAAGUCUAGUGAACCUUAUCACUUAGAGGAAGGAGAAGUCGUAACA